CCUACGGGGGGCAGCAGUGAGGAAUAUUGGUCAAUGGGCGCGAGCCUGAACCAGCCAAGUAGCGUGAAGGAUGACUGCCCUACGGGUUGUAAACUUCUUUUAUAAAGGAAUAAAGUGAGGCACGUGUGCCUUUUUGUAUGUACUUUAUGAAUAAGGAUCGGCUAACUCCGUGCCAGCAGCCGCGGUAAUACGGAGGAUCCGAGCGUUAUCCGGAUUUAUUGGGUUUAAAGGGAGCGUAGAUGGGUUGUUAAGUCAGUUGUGAAAGUUUGGGGCUCAACCGUAAAAGUGCAAUUGAAACUGGCAGCCUUGAGUACAGUUGAGGUAGGCGGAAUGCGUGGUGUAGCGGUGAAAUGCUUAGAUAUCAUGAAGAACUCCGAUUGCGAAGGCAGCUUACUAAACUGCCACUGACAUUGAUGCUCGAAAGUGUGGGUAUCAAACAGGAUUAGAUACCCUAGUAGUC
Molecule: ribosomal RNA, 460 nt
Filed under: uncultured bacterium
Lineage: Bacteria
Description: partial 16S ribosomal RNA
Rfam family: Bacterial small subunit ribosomal RNA
Source: RNAcentral